This 315-nucleotide unclassified non-coding RNA is filed under the name uncultured fungus. RNAcentral describes it as "sequence contains ITS1". The stretch from base 1 to 100 matches the Rfam family "5.8S ribosomal RNA", at positions 50 to 154 of the family's 154-position model. The record is from RNAcentral. Lineage: Eukaryota; Fungi.
AAAACGCGAAAUGUGUUAUGACAUGCAAUCUUUGAGAAUCAUUAAAUAUUUGAACGCACCUUGUACCAAUGUCAUCAUUGGUAUAUUUGUUUGAGUAUGGGAACUGAGUUCGACACACGAAUGUGUUGGAGAUGGGGUGUACGACCAGUAAAUGGUUGUGAUCCUGAAAGCGAGGCAACCUUUUACGAAUGUCUCGGGAUAAUUCCUUCGAGGCACCAGUAAACAUUGUUAUGCACGAGUGAGAUAAUAAUAUAUUAUCCCCUCAAAUUUCAAACACUCUAUCUCAAAUCAAAUAAGAUGACCCGCUGAACUUAA